UACGGAGGGUGCGAGCGUUGUCCGGAAUCACUGGGCGUAAAGAGCUCGUAGGCGGCUUGUCGCGUCGACUGUGAAAACCCGCGGCUCAACCGCGGCCUGCAGUCGAUACGAGCAAACUAGAGUGUUGCAGGGGAGACUGGAAUUCCUGGUGUAGCGGUGAAAUGCGUAGAUAUCAGGAGGAACACCUGUGGCGAAAGCGGCUCACUGGACCAUAACUGACGCUGGAUGCACGAAAGCCUAGGGGAGCAAACAGG
This 254-nucleotide ribosomal RNA is filed under the name uncultured bacterium. RNAcentral describes it as "partial 16S ribosomal RNA". It matches the Rfam family "Bacterial small subunit ribosomal RNA", at positions 524 to 776 of the family's 1533-position model. The record is from RNAcentral.